Molecule: long non-coding RNA, 2071 nt
Filed under: Pelobates cultripes (western spadefoot toad)
Lineage: Eukaryota; Metazoa; Chordata; Amphibia; Anura; Pelobatidae
Source: RNAcentral
CCUUGGUAGCAGACCCUCCAGUUUGCCGUUUCCCCCCCUGAGUUCAGCUGAUGUCAGGGCCUGACCUCUCUAAUGGUCACCCCUUUACCUGUCAAGGGGCUGCCACCUCCCCUACGCCCCUUGCACUCUGUGUGUCCAUGCACGGUGCGCCCCAGAUUGAACCCUGCGGUCCCGUCCCCUGACAUCCCCACAGGUCAUGGCCACUGUCGCAACAGUUGCCUCGUAGCCCAGAUAGAUAUUUGCAUGCAGGGCUAACAGGAUAGAUAUAUAGCUAAGCUCCAGUCCAGAAUGGCCCCCAUGGCUGCUGUAUGGCAAAAGGUAAGGAUAGUCACUUGGGGCAGCUGUGCCGUAGAAGAAAUCUAAGAUGACAGUGGAGCACCCCAGGCCCGAAGGGCGAGCAAAAACAACAAGAUCGAGGGGCAGAGCCUGACAACAGUGGUGAAUGGACGCACAAACCUGUAGCUCCGUGCUCAAAAUAGCAAAAAAUACUGAAAUCUGGAACCCUCACCUCCAAAAAUUUACCAUAAGAGCCCACCGGGUUGACCUGAACAACAGCGACCACCAUCAGACUAAACUGCACCGGGGCUUACUAUUGGGGACAUGUGGAGGCAAGCGCAUGGCGCCAGCGGGCCCAAAAUGGCUGCGGUUGCCUAAACUUCUCAGACGAGUUGUCUGGCGACGCUGAUGAAGACGAACUACUCUGCACCGGCUCCCUCGUAAAGUGACGAAACAACAAAUCCGGGUUGGACUCCUCACCUGUGACCACAUCGGUCCUAAAAGUAUUGCUGGCAGACCUACAAAGGAAUAUCUUGGCAGACAUCACGGCGGUACGCAGUGACCUGCAAGGGCUGACUGGCCGCAUCGGGGCUCUAGAGGGAACUUCCCAAACAAGCACUCAACACAUUGCCAAGCUUCACCAAGCCGUACAUGACCUGCAGCAGCAGAACUUGCUACAUGAACGUCGUUUUGGGGCCCUAGAGGACACACUGAGAAGAAACAGUCUCAAACUCAGAGGGGUCUCGGAAGACAUCUCCGAAACGGAACUACCAUGUUUCUUGAGAGGCAUGCUGGCAGCCCUACUAUCAGAGACGGGAAAGCUAUCACCCUGGACAGAUUCUUUUGAAUCCCUAAACCCAACAAAGCACCAACCACAGCCCCCAGGGACUUAAUAAUUACCUUUCAAAACGACGACAAGGCAGUGGUCCUCACAGCACUAUGGGACAAAUCACCCAUUCACUUUGAAAACAUGGCGAUGUCCCAACAUUUACACAAGCAUUGGGAUUAAAACAAGUUCGUGGUCAGGACUGGUACAAUGAAUCUGGUUUUACACCUACUAUGCCACAACCACAGCGGUGCAGAGAAAUACCUACUCCUACCAGGAGUUCCAGAGGACUCACAACCUCAUUAACCUGAAUGGACCUGAAUCUCUGAUUCCUGACCAACACUUGCUGAAGAUGGCUUCUAGCCAUCUUUUUAGUUAACAUUACAUUCCUUGUUAUAAUUUUUAUUGCUUGACCUCCCACACAUGCAUUUCAGCCACUGUACAGAAGGAUGGUUAGGUUAACUCAAUAGAAAACUAAUCCCCAUUAACAUGAGGGUGUGUGACAGGGUAAACGUUUUAGUUCCAAAAAAAAAAAAAAAAAAGUUAAAACGUUACCUAGUCCUUAUAAUUUCCCAACACCUAUGGUUUCCAUAUCAAUGCUGGGGGUGGGAGAUAUUUAAUUGACCUCAUUCAGUAAUCACGAUCGAUGAGGCAUAAUGGGAUGUGAGCCUGAGUAUCACACUCCCAUCUAUGAGAUAUCUGGCUAAACAAAACCGUAGCACCACUAAUAAAUGAGCAUUCGCCCAGCCAGAGGGUCUGACCCACUACCCUAAUUUUCUACUGUCCGCUGGGGACCAGGAAAUAUCUGCUUUACACCAAAUGUUGACACGAAUCUCCUCAAACAACACUUUAACUACUCUUUAAUGACAAACACUUUGCUACAAAUUGUGCACACUAAGCUGUGCAUGAUUAACAUUCAUAUUAGUAUUUUUAUUUUAUCAUAUUUCUUGCAACUAGCACAUUUUCUUG